AGAGUUUGAUCCUGGCUCAGAUUGAACGCUGGCGGAAUGCUUUACACAUGCAAGUCGAACGGCAGCACGGGAGCUUGCUCCUGGUGGCGAGUGGCGAACGGGUGAGUAAUAUAUCGGAACAUGUCCAAUAAUGGGGGAUAACUAUCCGAAAGGAUAGCUAAUACCGCAUACGCCCUGAGGGGGAAAGCGGGGGAUCGUAAGACCUCGCGUUAAUGGAGUGGCCGAUAUCUGAUUAGCUAGUUGGUGAGGUAAAGGCUCACCAAGGCGACGAUCAGUAGCUGGUCUGAGAGGACGACCAGCCACACUGGAACUGAGACACGGUCCAGACUCCUACGGGAGGCAGCAGUGGGGAAUUUUGGACAAUGGGCGCAAGCCUGAUCCAGCCAUUCCGCGUGAGUGAAGAAAGGCCUUCGGGUUGUAAAGCUCUUUCGCAAGGGAAAGAAACUUAGCUAAUAACACUAGUUGAGGCUGACGGUACCUUGAUAAGAAGCACCGGCUAACUACGUGCCAGCAGCCGCGGUAAUACGUAGGUGCGAGGCGUUAAUCGGAAUACUGGGCGUAAGCGUGCGCAGGCGGUUUUGUAAGUCAGAUGUGAAGCCCCGGCUCAACCUGCAACUGCGUUUGAACUACCAAGGCUAAAGUUGUAACAAAGGGGGCUAGAAUUCCACGUGUUAGCAAUGCAAUGCGUUAAGAUGUUGGAGGAAAUACCAAUGGGCGAAAGCAGCCCCUGGUAUAAACCUUGGACGCCUCAUGCACGAAACGCGUGGGGAGCAUAUAGGAUUGAGAUCCCUGUGGUAGUCCACGCCUUAAGCGAUGUCUUAUUAGUUUGUGGGGGAAGAGUAAAAUUCUCUUAGUAACGACAGCUUAACGGCGUGAAUGUAGACCCCCCUUGGGAGAUGUACGUGUUCCGCAAGGAUUAAAAUCUCAAAAGGGAAUUUGAGCGGGGGCCCCGCCACAAAGGCGGUGGGUAUAAUGGUGGAUUAUAUUUCGAUUGACACCGGCGAAAAACCUUUAACUGUGCCCCUGGACACAUGGUUACUUACCGAACGCCAAGAAGAAUCGCAUUUAGGGUGCCCGGAAAAGGGAAAAGUGUGAGACACAAAGGGUGCUUGCCAAUGCCUGUUCUGUCCAGCUUCGUGUGUUCGGUGAGGAAUGUUUGGGGUUAAGUUCCCCGCAACGAGGCGCGCAACCUUUGGCCAAUAUAAUUGCCAUCCAUUUAAGUUUGGGCACUUUUAUUUGGGACUUGCCCGGUGACAAAACCGGAGGAAGGGUGGGGGAUGACGUCCAAGUCCCUCCAUGGCCCUUAUGGCCCAGGGGCUUUCACACGUAAUACAAUGGUCGGUACAGAGGGUUGCCCAACCCGCGAGGGGGAGCCAAUCCCAGAAAGCCGAUCGUAGUCCGGAUUGCAGUCUGCAACUCGACUGCAUGAAGUCGGAAUCGCUAGUAAUCGCGGAUCAGCAUGUCGCGGUGAAUACGUUCCCGGGCCUUGUACACACCGCCCGUCACACCAUGGGAGUGGGUUCCACCAGAAGUAGUUAGUCUAACCGCAAGGAGGACGAUUACCACGGUGGGAUUCAUGACUGGGGUGAAGUCGUAACAAGGUAACC
RNAcentral lists this ribosomal RNA (1607 nucleotides) under uncultured bacterium. RNAcentral's name for it is "16S ribosomal RNA". It matches the Rfam family "Bacterial small subunit ribosomal RNA". The record is from RNAcentral.